Molecule: ribosomal RNA, 429 nt
Filed under: Acidobacteriota bacterium
Lineage: Bacteria; Pseudomonadati; Acidobacteriota
Description: Acidobacteria bacterium partial 16S ribosomal RNA
Rfam family: Bacterial small subunit ribosomal RNA
Source: RNAcentral
UGGGGAAUUUUGGACAAUGGGGGAAACCCUGAUCCAGCCAUCCCGCGUGUGCGAUGAAGGCCUUCGGGUUGUAAAGCACUUUUGGCAGGAAAGAAACGUCAUGGGUUAAUACCCCGUGAAACUGACGGUACCUGCAGAAUAAGCACCGGCUAACUACGUGCCAGCAGCCGCGGUAAUACGUAGGGUGCAAGCGUUAAUCGGAAUUACUGGGCGUAAAGCGUGCGCAGGCGGUUCGGAAAGAAAGAUGUGAAAUCCCAGAGCUCAACUUUGGAACUGCAUUUUUAACUACCGGGCUAGAGUGUGUCAGAGUGAGGUGGAAUUCCGCGUGUAGCAGUGAAAUGCGUAGAUUUGCAGAGGAACACCGAUGGCGAAGGCAGCCUCCUGGGAUAACACUGACGCUCAUGCACGAAAGCGUGGGGAGCAAACAGG